AUUGAACGCUGGCGGCAUGCUUUACACAUGCAAGUCGAACGGCAGCACGGACUUCGGUCUGGUGGCGAGUGGCGAACGGGUGAGUAAUACAUCGGAACGUACCCAGUAAUGGGGGAUAACUAUCCGAAAGGAUAGCUAAUACCGCAUACGCCCUACGGGGGAAAGAGGGGGAUCGCAAGACCUCUUGUUAUUGGAGCGGCCGAUGGCUGAUUAGCUAGUUGGUGAGGUAAAGGCUCACCAAGGCGACGAUCAGUAGCGGGUCUUAGAGGACGAUCCGCCACACUGGAACUGAGACACGGUCCAGCCUCCUACGGGAGGCAGCAGUGGGGAAUCUUGGACAAUGGGCGCAAGCCUGAUCCAGCAAUGCCGCGUGCGUGAAGAAGGCCUUCGGGUUGUAAAGCGCUUUUGUCAGGGAGCAAAUCCUUGUGGCUAAUACCCACCGGGGAUGAGAGUACCUGAAGAAUAAGGACCGGCUAACUACGUGCCAGCCGCCGCCGUAA
This 500-nucleotide ribosomal RNA is filed under the name uncultured bacterium. Its description in RNAcentral is "partial 16S ribosomal RNA". It matches the Rfam family "Bacterial small subunit ribosomal RNA", at positions 30 to 523 of the family's 1533-position model. The record is from RNAcentral.